CCUACGGGAGGCAGCAGUGAGGAAUAUUGGUCAAUGGACGCAAGUCUGAACCAGCCAUGCCGCGUGCAGGAAGACGGCUCUAUGAGUUGUAAACUGCUUUUGUACGAGGGUAAAUCCCGAUACGUGUAUCGGGUUGAAAGUAUCGUACGAAUAAGGACCGGCUAACUCCGUGCCAGCAGCCGCGGUAAUACGGAGGAUUCAAGCGUUAUCCGGAUUUAUUGGGUUUAAAGGGUGCGUAGGCGGUUCGUUAAGUUAGAGGUGAAAUCCCGGGGCUCAACUCCGGCACUGCCUCUGAAACUGUCGGGCUAGAGUUUAGUUGCGGUAGGCGGAAUGUAUGGUGUAGCGGUGAAAUGCAUAGAGAUCAUACAGAACCCCGAUUGCGAAGGCAGCUUACCAAACUACGACUGACGUUGAGGCACGAAAGCGUGGGGAGCGAACAGGAUUAGAUACACCAGUAGUC
Molecule: ribosomal RNA, 460 nt
Filed under: uncultured bacterium
Lineage: Bacteria
Description: partial 16S ribosomal RNA
Rfam family: Bacterial small subunit ribosomal RNA
Source: RNAcentral